Molecule: ribosomal RNA, 412 nt
Filed under: Escherichia coli
Lineage: Bacteria; Pseudomonadati; Pseudomonadota; Gammaproteobacteria; Enterobacterales; Enterobacteriaceae
Description: bacterial LSU rRNA
Rfam family: Bacterial large subunit ribosomal RNA
Source: RNAcentral
GGGUUGUGAGGUUAAGCGACUAAGCGUACACGGUGGAUGCCCUGGCAGUCAGAGGCGAUGAAGGACGUGCUAAUCUGCGAUAAGCGUCGGUAAGGUGAUAUGAACCGUUAUAACCGGCGAUUUCCGAAUGGGGAAACCCAGUGUGUUUCGACACACUAUCAUUAACUGAAUCCAUAGGUUAAUGAGGCGAACCGGGGGAACUGAAACAUCUAAGUACCCCGAGGAAAAGAAAUCAACCGAGAUUCCCCCAGUAGCGGCGAGCGAACGGGGAGCAGCCCAGAGCCUGAAUCAGUGUGUGUGUUAGUGGAAGCGUCUGGAAAGGCGCGCGAUACAGGGUGACAGCCCCGUACACAAAAAUGCACAUGCUGUGAGCUCGAUGAGUAGGGCGGGACACGUGGUAUCCUGUCUGAAU